GACGAACGCUGGCGGCGUGCUUAACACAUGCAAGUCGAACGGAAAGGCCCUGCUUUUGUGGGGUGCUCGAGUGGCGAACGGGUGAGUAACACGUGAGUAACCUGCCCUUGACUUUGGGAUAACUUCAGGAAACUGGGGCUAAUACCGGAUAGGAGCUCCUGCUGCAUGGUGGGGGUUGGAAAGUUUCGGCGGUUGGGGAUGGACUCGCGGCUUAUCAGCUUGUUGGUGGGGUAGUGGCUUACCAAGGCUUUGACGGGUAGCCGGCCUGAGAGGGUGACCGGCCACAGUGGGAAUGAGAUACGGCCCAGACUCCUACGGGAGGCAGCGGUGGGGAGUAUUGCACAAUGGGCGGAAGCCUGGUGCAGCAACGCCGCGUGGGGGAUAACGGCCGUCGGGUUGUAAACCGCUUUCGCCUGUGACGAAGCGUGAGUGGCGGUAAUGGGUAAAGAAGCACCGGCUAACUACGUG
RNAcentral lists this ribosomal RNA (468 nucleotides) under uncultured bacterium. RNAcentral describes it as "partial 16S ribosomal RNA". It matches the Rfam family "Bacterial small subunit ribosomal RNA", at positions 28 to 507 of the family's 1533-position model. The record is from RNAcentral.